Molecule: ribosomal RNA, 1070 nt
Filed under: Cupressus atlantica
Lineage: Eukaryota; Viridiplantae; Streptophyta; Pinopsida; Cupressales; Cupressaceae
Description: eukaryotic LSU rRNA
Rfam family: 5.8S ribosomal RNA (bases 688-841)
Source: RNAcentral
GGUUCGAGACCCUGAAUCGUGUAGGGGAUGGAGCUGGCCUCCUCCCCGCCCCCGAAAUCUCGGCGACGUGCGGACACUCGGCCCUGCAGCGAUGYGCUGGRCGGCCACGCUACGGGUCCAGCGUCGUCGAGGUCGAGGGUCACAUCGAAUGCCCGUGAUCGAAAGCGUGGAUUCCCCGCGGGGCGAAGAAGAGACUCGGAUGCAAUCUGGAUUAGGAUCGGUGCCUUCGAACGACGUCCGCGUCGGAGCGAGAGGUCUCUGCUCGGUUGCAGUUCAGAGGGGGUCCGGGCCUCGUCCCCCGUUGAGAUUUCACGGUCCGAUCGCGUGCGCGGCGCUGUGCCAGGGAUCCGUCGUUUCGACGGCGGCAAGUCGGGACUGCCGCAACCCCCCGUUGCCUUGCCCAGGUGUGUUGACUCGUCGCUUGGAGCGUUCUGUGUUUAGGAUGGGUGCACUCGCAUGAUCCGCUGACACGGCUCUCCCAUGCGUCGCCUCCCACCUUUGCGAGGGGAUGGGGCGGGGACACACCACAGCGUUCCUCGUCGCACCCAUUGGGUGCUCGGGGUUCGGGAUGUGUCAACACCCAACAACACACGGGUGCAUCGCGCACCUUAGAAAUCCAAAGAACGAAGCGCGAGCCAGCGCCUUGCGCGCUUGGGUCGCCGAAAGGCAAAAACAAAACAAAAUCACGACUCUCGGCAACGGAUAUCUCGGCUCUCGCCACGAUGAAGAAUGUAGCGAAAUGCGAUACUUAGUGUGAAUUGCAGAAUCCCGUGAAUCAUCAAGUCUUUGAACGCAAGUUGCGCCCGAGGCCUCGGCCAAGGGCACGUCUGCUUGGGCGUCGCACUACAAAAUUUUGCCCUCCCCGGCGAGGAGCGGAGAUGGCCGUCCGUGUCCGCAAGUGGCGCGCGGUCGGCUGAAAUGAGCACGAGGUCCGUCGAUCCGUCGCGACGAGCGGUGGCUCGCAAAGGCCGGCGUUGGUUUGCGCCGAUCGAACGAUUCCUCGCGAGGAACUUUAUUCUGGGCUCAGCGGCCCGCCGCAGUGCGGGCAUUGCUGCAUCUCUACCGCGUCC